AACGAACGCUGGCGGCAUGCCUAACACAUGCAAGUCGAACGAUACCUUCGGGUCUAGUGGCGCACGGGUGCGUAACGCGGGGGAACCUGCCCUUAGGUUCGGAAUAACUCCCCGAAAGGGGUGCUAAUCCCGGAUAAUGUCUUCGGACCAAAGAUUUAUCGCCGUAGGAUGGGCCCGCGUUGGAUUAGCUAGUUGGUAGGGUAAAAGCCUACCAAGGCGACGAUCCAUAGCUGGUAGGAGAGGAUGAUCAGCCACACUGGGACUGAGACACGGCCCAGACUACUACGGGAGGGAGCAGUGGGGAAUAUUGGACAAUGGGCGAAAGCCUGAUCCAGCAAUGCCGCGUGAGUGAUGAAGGCCUUAGGGUUGUAAAGCUCUUUUACCCGGGAUGAUAAUGACAGUACCGGGAGAAUAAGCACCGGCUAACUCCGUG
RNAcentral lists this ribosomal RNA (433 nucleotides) under uncultured bacterium. Its description in RNAcentral is "partial 16S ribosomal RNA". It matches the Rfam family "Bacterial small subunit ribosomal RNA", at positions 29 to 507 of the family's 1533-position model. The record is from RNAcentral.